CCGGCACGGGUGAGUAACACGUAUCCAACCUGCCGUCUACUCUUGGACAGCCUUCUGAAAGGAAGAUUAAUACAAGAUGGCAUCAUGAGUCCACAUGUUCACAUGAUUAAAGGUAUUCCGGUAGACGAUGGGGAUGCGUUCCAUUAGAUAGUAGGCGGGGUAACGGCCCACCUAGUCUUCGAUGGAUAGGGGUUCUGAGAGGAGGGUCCCCCACAUUGGAACUGAGACACGGUCCAA
Molecule: ribosomal RNA, 237 nt
Filed under: uncultured bacterium
Lineage: Bacteria
Description: partial 16S ribosomal RNA
Rfam family: Bacterial small subunit ribosomal RNA
Source: RNAcentral